AUGCUGCCCUCCUGGGAGCUCUGCUGCCUGCAAAGGGAGGAAGGAGCCUGCGGCGUUUACAUGCCUCUAACCAAAUCUCCCUGCUCAGUUCUUUCAGCUGUCAUGUCCAGGUUUGCUGUUUCCAGCUCAGACAUGCUGGCAAAAGGGACGCUUAUGGAGGAGAGCUCAGUCAGCGCCAAGUCCAAAAUCUCUCAAGGCUGCCAGUUGUUUUGCUUGGAGGCUCAUCUCUACCCUGGCCUAGCAGAAUAAUGAAAGCAUGACAAAUCUGAUUAGUCUUUCUUCAGCCCUCAAGUAUGUAACUUCUCCUGCUGUAAAAAUGGAAACUUGAGGCUCUGGUUAUGCAAAAAUUACUUUAGAAGGAAAACAAUGACUUGAGCUGUCACAGCAACAUUUCCAGUCAGGUGGAGCAGCCAAGCCAUGGACACCCAGGCUUGUGCUGGAGGUUUGUGUGUAGUGCCUGCUGACUGCACUGCUGGUGGCUCAUGCAGGAGGCUCAGGUGGAGUUGGUGGAAGCUGGGCUUAUCUGGGAAGCCCCUGCAGGAAUCUAUACUGUGCUGGGCAGUCUCUGGGACAGGCACACAAGUGCCAGCAGAAGUGGAGCUCCCCGGACAGGUUUUUAUUUCUAAGACUCUGGAUGCAGAAGCAUUUGGAAAACGGUGAAAAAACAGGAUCAAGCUGGUUUAAAUUAGCCUAAUUACUUACUUAUAUAGCAUUAUACUUUUCUAAGUCCAUGUAAGAAGCAGUGUCAGCUGCUUUGCCUGAACUACUGCAUUUGGUUUUCGGAGACCACCCACAUUCUUUGGUUAAUAUGAUGGGAGUUUGUUGGGUAUGCAGCUGUUAGGCUAUCAACUCAGAGGCGGGAUUAAUUUAUAUGAAGAAAUAUAUAAGAAAUGCUUUUCUAAAUUAAUAGUCGUUUUAUUAUUAGACAGGAAUAUCCUUACUGUGGAUCUUUAACAAGAAUUGAGCUGUGGUUUUGGACUGUUUGUACAGGAAUAUGAUGCAUAUAAUUAUAUAAUGGCAGCAGCAGCUGGCUUUUUGAGACGUCCACCGGAGGUGCUCAAACUCAGCAUUGUAGUGGAGCACACAACAGCACUGCUAGAUAUCCCUGCCCUUUGAGACAUUUGUGUCUCAUGCUGGCACAGAAUUGUGCCAUACUCUUGGCUCCAGCUGUGCUACAGCCUCCACUUCAGCCUUUAUUAACAUGAGGGAAGUGCAGCAUAUUCGAUAUAUCCUAUAAAUUUACUGCCAU
RNAcentral lists this long non-coding RNA (1249 nucleotides) under Coturnix japonica (Japanese quail). Its description in RNAcentral is "lncRNA (ENSCJPG00005012442.1)". Lineage: Eukaryota; Metazoa; Chordata; Aves; Galliformes; Phasianidae. The record is from RNAcentral.